Apis florea (little honeybee) is the source of this 769-nucleotide long non-coding RNA. The record is from RefSeq and is a predicted model, not a curated record. NCBI's taxonomy places the organism in Eukaryota, Metazoa, Arthropoda, Insecta, Hymenoptera, Apidae.
UCCCUUCCGCUGGUUUAAUUCCUUGGCAAAUUAAACCAUCGACCUCGAUUUGAAAAUUUCUUAAUUCACCUCCAAAAACCUAUUACCGACUCGAACGACCAAUCUCCACCGUGGUAUUAAUCUUUAACCCCCUCCGCCUCGUAUAAAAGGAUUGAAAGAAGAGCGGAUCCUCGCUAAAUCUAACGGAAUAAAACUAGUCGGGAUACAAAUUUCUCGGAAGGCGGCCCUUUUCUCGGCGACGAGCCUUCCGUCGCUCUGCUGUCGGAGAAGGAGAUCGGAAAAGAGGAGGAGAACGGGGGGAGAAGAAUGGCGGUACGAAGUCGCGGCCCCCUUGAAACUCCCCGACCUUAAAUCCCGACACGUGCAGUAAAUCAUGGACGCGUUACAGAAUCGUUUCGACUGCGAAACGUCUCUGUGGAAUGACGCGCGUGGAGAGAGAGAGAGAGAGAGAGAGAGAGAUUGGAAACGAGGAGGAGAGGAAAGGGGUUUCGGAGGAGAGAAGAGACCCGCGUUCUCUCGAGGCAAGAAGAAGAGUUUCGAGGCGUACAAUAAUAAUUUGUACGCCGGUCAUAUUUCACGUAAGGCGGCCGUGAAUUAUGGCAGUCGCGGUCGACGCAAAUGAUUUAGGUUUAAUAACGACGGUCUGUCCGGCCGGCCCGGGUCAGCAGCCAUUGUCGGUGAAACGACGGGGGCCUCUUCUUCUUCUUCUCCUCCGCGAUGUCCCCUCUCCGACUCGAGGAGAGGCUCGUCCGAUCGAGAGCCGGCUAGA